This 238-nucleotide unclassified non-coding RNA is filed under the name Basidiomycota sp. RNAcentral's name for it is "partial contains small subunit ribosomal RNA, internal transcribed spacer 1, and 5.8S ribosomal RNA". The stretch from base 1 to 47 matches the Rfam family "Eukaryotic small subunit ribosomal RNA", at positions 1785 to 1831 of the family's 1831-position model. The record is from RNAcentral. Lineage: Eukaryota; Fungi; Basidiomycota.
AAAGUCGUAACAAGGUUUCCGUAGGUGAACCUGCGGAAGGAUCAUUAUCGAUUCCAAAGGGAUGUUGCUGGCCUUUGGCCGUGCACUCCCGCUUUUAUAUCCACCUGUGCACUUUGACGUAGACAAGGAUUAGUUUCCGAGUCUAUGUUUUUCAUAUACCCUUUAUUAUUGUCAAUGAAUGUAUUAGGCUUCGGCCAAAAAAACAAUACAACUUUCAACAAUGGAUCUCUUGGUUCUC